This is a long non-coding RNA of Homo sapiens (human), 965 nucleotides long. RefSeq lists it as uncharacterized. Lineage: Eukaryota; Metazoa; Chordata; Mammalia; Primates; Hominidae. The transcript is spliced from 4 exons. The record is from RefSeq and is marked validated.
AAUUCUAAACUGCCCUGCCUCAGCCAACAGCUAUCUGCAGCUCAUUUCCUGCUUUCUGGCCAUCUUAUCUCUGUCUUCAAGCAUUCCUCAGCUUUCUCUUUCCAGAACAGGAUUAUGAACCGACACCAUACAGAGGUAUUUGUAAGAAAGAAGGUGGAUGCCGGAAUCCUUUCUUCAAACAGAAGCUUACCAGUAAGUGCAGACUAAUACAACAGAGAGAUUGGAACUACAGCAAAGGUAUGAACAGGUGUCACGGGGACACAGAAGAAAGAGCAGUUACUCUUCCGGAAGGUUGGAGAAGAUUUUGUGAAGGUGGGGAUGUUUGAUUUGAACCUUGAAGAACAAGCAGAGACCCAAGAAGUACAGAAGAGGGGAGGUGGAAAUAGCAUGAACGAGGUGGGGCAUGCAAAUUCACUUUCAAUUGAUACAAUCUUUCACGUCAGAGCUGCUUCUUGUAACACAGAAGUUUUCAGAUUCUAUGAAAAGGUAUUGAAUGAAUUGAAGGCUCUGUUAAGGGGGCAACUAUCUCCCCUCCCCAUUCUCCUAUCAGCCCAUAAAACAGGAACUGACAACCUCUUGGAAGAAUUGGGAAGGAACUUUUCGAUUUUCUCUGUACAAUCUUCACUGGUUCCUCUCUGUGAGAGGAGGAGGGACCUCUUGGAUUGGUGUCGUUGGGAAAAGGGUAUCAAGUGUGCAUGGCUCAGCCUGUUCCUGGCUCUCUCUCUGGGACUGACCUGACUGCAAGCAGCAUGUUCUCUGUCUGCUCCUGCCUCCUCCAGGCAAUGAGCACCAGGGCGGGUCCAGCCCUUGCUUGGGAGGACUUCAAUAGUCCAGCUGCUCUGCCGCGAGUGGGUGAGUGAGUUCAAGUCAGAGGAGAAGACACAGAAAGCUCAUUUGGGCCUUGGGUCUUAGCCACAUCCUCCAGUCCAUCUGGACUAGCAAUAAAGCUGACAUUUUAAUCCCUA